GACGAACGCUGGCGGCGUGCCUAAUACAUGCAAGUCGAACGCAGUGGGGACGGGUGAGUAACACGUGGGCAACCUCCCAUCAGAGGGGAUAACACUUGGAAACAGGUGCUAAACCGAUACCGAUGGAUGGACCCGCGGUGCAUUAGCUAGAUGGUGAGGUAACGGCUCACCAAGGCCACGUUGCAUAGCGGACCGGAGAGGGUGUGCGGCCAACCUGGAACUGAAACACGGCCCAGACUCUUACGGGAGGCGACAGUAGGGAAUCUUCGGCAAUGGACGAAAGUCGGACCGAGCAAGGCCGCGGGAGUGAGAAGGUUUUUCGGAUCGUAAGACUCUGUGGUUGGGGAAGCGGUAUCUAACCAGAAAGCCACGGCUAACUACGUGCCAGCAGCCGCGGUAAUUC
Molecule: ribosomal RNA, 403 nt
Filed under: uncultured bacterium
Lineage: Bacteria
Description: partial 16S ribosomal RNA
Rfam family: Bacterial small subunit ribosomal RNA
Source: RNAcentral